UUUCAACGGAGAGUUUGAUCCUGGCUCAGGAUGAACGCUGGCGGCGUGCUUAACACAUGCAAGUCGAACGAUGAUGCCCAGCUUGCUGGGUGGAUUAGUGGCGAACGGGUGAGUAACACGUGAGUAACCUGCCCUUGACUCUGGGAUAAGCCUG
Molecule: ribosomal RNA, 154 nt
Filed under: Arthrobacter sp. cf158
Lineage: Bacteria; Bacillati; Actinomycetota; Actinomycetes; Micrococcales; Micrococcaceae
Description: 16S rRNA. Bacterial SSU
Rfam family: Bacterial small subunit ribosomal RNA
Source: RNAcentral